Molecule: ribosomal RNA, 765 nt
Filed under: uncultured Streptococcus sp.
Lineage: Bacteria; Bacillati; Bacillota; Bacilli; Lactobacillales; Streptococcaceae
Description: bacterial SSU rRNA
Rfam family: Bacterial small subunit ribosomal RNA
Source: RNAcentral
GACGAACGCUGGCGGCGUGCCUAAUACAUGCAAGUAGAACGCUGAAGAGAGGAGCUUGCUCUUCUUGAAUGAGUUGCGAACGGGUGAGUAACGCGUAGGUAACCUGCCUUGUAGCGGGGGAUAACUAUUGGAAACGAUAGCUAAUACCGCAUAACAAUGGGUGACACAUGUCAUUUAUUUGAAAGGGGCAAUUGCUCCACUACAAGAUGGACCUGCGUUGUAUUAGCUAGUAGGUGAGGUAACGGCUCACCUAGGCGACGAUACAUAGCCGACCUGAGAGGGUGAUCGGCCACACUGGGACUGAGACACGGCCCAGACUCCUACGGGAGGCAGCAGUAGGGAAUCUUCGGCAAUGGGGGCAACCCUGACCGAGCAACGCCGCGUGAGUGAAGAAGGUUUUCGGAUCGUAAAGCUCGGUUGUAAGUCAAGAACGAGUGUGAGAGUGGAAAGUUCACACUGUGACGGUAGCUUACCAGAAAGGGACGGCUAACUACGUGCCAGCAGCCGCGGUAAUACGUAGGUCCCGAGCGUUGUCCGGAUUUAUUGGGCGUAAAGCGAGCGCAGGCGGUUUGAUAAGUCUGAAGUUAAAGGCUGUGGCUCAACCAUAGUUCGCUUUGGAAACUGUCAAACUUGAGUGCAGAAGGGGAGAGUGGAAUUCCAUGUGUAGCGGUGAAAUGCGUAGAUAUAUGGAGGAACACCGGUGGCGAAAGCGGCUCUCUGGUCUGUAACUGACGCUGAGGCUCGAAAGCGUGGGGAGCGAACAGG